CACUAAUACAACCCUAUGCGGUGGAUCACUUGGCUCGCGAGUCGAUGAAGAGCGCGGCAAACUGCGUGAAUUAAUGUGAUUUGCAGGACACAUUGAUCAUCGAUAUCUUGAACGCAUAUUGCGGUUAUGGAUCACUUCCAUGACCACGCCUGUCUGAGGGUCGGUAUU
Molecule: ribosomal RNA, 168 nt
Filed under: Keratella valga
Lineage: Eukaryota; Metazoa; Rotifera; Eurotatoria; Ploima; Brachionidae
Description: 5.8S ribosomal RNA
Rfam family: 5.8S ribosomal RNA
About the family: 5.8S ribosomal RNA (5.8S rRNA) is a component of the large subunit of the eukaryotic ribosome. It is transcribed by RNA polymerase I as part of the 45S precursor that also contains 18S and 28S rRNA.
Source: RNAcentral